RNAcentral lists this ribosomal RNA (433 nucleotides) under uncultured bacterium. RNAcentral describes it as "partial 16S ribosomal RNA". It matches the Rfam family "Bacterial small subunit ribosomal RNA", at positions 29 to 507 of the family's 1533-position model. The record is from RNAcentral.
AGCGAACGCUGGCGGCAGGCCUAACACAUGCCAGUCGAACGAACUCUUCGGAGUUAGUGGCGGACGGGUGAGUAACACGUGGGAACGUGCCUUUAGGUUCGGAAUAACUCAGGGAAACUUGUGCUAAUACCGAAUGUGCCCUUCGGGGGAAAGAUUUAUCGCCUUUAGAGCGGCCCGCGUCUGAUUAGCUAGUUGGUGAGGUAAAGGCUCACCAAGGCGACGAUCAGUAGCUGGUCUGAGAGGAUGAUAAGCCACAUUGGGACUGAGACACGGCCCAAACUCCUACGGGAGGCAGCAGUGGGGAAUCUUGCGCAAUGGGCGAAAGCCUGACGCAGCCAUGCCGCGUGAAUGAUGAAGGUCUUAGGAUUGUAAAAUUCUUUCACCGGGGACGAUAAUGACGGUACCCGGAGAAGAAGCCCCGGCUAACUUCGUG